GAUGAACGCUAGCUACAGGCUUAACACAUGCAAGUCGAGGGGAAACGAUAUUGGAAGCUUGCUUCUGAUAGGCGUCGACCGGCGCACGGGUGAGUAACGCGUAUCCAACCUGCCCAUCACUUGGGGAUAACCUUGUGAAAGUAAGACUAAUACCCAAUGACGUCUCUAGAAGACAUCUGAAAGAGAUUAAAGAUUUAUCGGUGAUGGAUGGGGAUGCGUCUGAUUAGCUUGUUGGCGGGGUAACGGCCCACCAAGGCGACGAUCAGUAGGGGUUCUGAGAGGAAGGUCCCCCCACAUUGGAACUGAGACACGGUCCAAACUCCUACGGGAGGCAGCAGUGAGGAAUAUUGGUCAAUGGACGAGAGUCUGAACCAGCCAAGUAGCGUGCAGGAUGACGGCCCUAUGGGUUGUAAACUGCUUUUAUAAGGGAAUAAAGUGGGAGUCGUGACUCUUUUUGCAUGUACCUUAUGAAUAAGGACCGGCUAAUUCCGUGCCAGCAGCCG
This 503-nucleotide ribosomal RNA is filed under the name uncultured bacterium. RNAcentral describes it as "bacterial SSU rRNA". It matches the Rfam family "Bacterial small subunit ribosomal RNA", at positions 28 to 517 of the family's 1533-position model. The record is from RNAcentral.